This is a long non-coding RNA of Oncorhynchus keta (chum salmon), 589 nucleotides long. RefSeq lists it as uncharacterized. The record is from RefSeq and is a predicted model, not a curated record. The transcript is spliced from 4 exons. NCBI's taxonomy places the organism in Eukaryota, Metazoa, Chordata, Actinopteri, Salmoniformes, Salmonidae.
CUACAGGGUAGUCUGGGUUCAUAUACAGCUUGGUACCCUCCCUGUCUCUCUGGGACGGCAGGAGGACUAAUGUAUAUGCUGUUAGGGUAGUCUGGGUUCAUAUACAGCUUGGUACCCUCCCUGUCUCUCUGGGACGGCAGGAGGACUAAUGUAUAUGCUGUUAGGGUAGUCUGGGUUCAUAUACAGCUUGGUACCCUCCCUGUCUCUCUGGGACGGCAGGAGGACUAAUGUAUAUGCUGUUAGGGUAGUCUGGGUUCAUAUACAGCUUGGUACCCUCCCUGUCUCUCUGGGACGGCAGGAGGACUAAUGUAUAUGCUGUUAGGGUAGUCUUGGUUCAUAUACAGCUUGGUACCCUCCCUGUCUCUCUGGGACGGCAAGAGGACUAAUGUAUAUGCUGUUAGGGUAGUCUGGGUUCAUAUACAGCUUGGUACCCUCCCUGUCUCUCUGGGACGGCAGGAGGACUAAUGUAUAUGCUGUUAGGUUAGUCUGGGUUCAUAUACAGCUUGUUACCCUCCCUGUCUCUCUGGGACGGCAGGAGGACUAAUGUAUAUGCUGUUAGGGUAGUCUGGGUUCAUAUACAGCUUGGUAC